Molecule: long non-coding RNA, 607 nt
Organism: Myotis brandtii (Brandt's bat)
Lineage: Eukaryota; Metazoa; Chordata; Mammalia; Chiroptera; Vespertilionidae
Exons: 3
Source: RefSeq, a predicted model, not a curated record
UUCCCUGGCCCUCCUCAAACCCUCCCUGCACACGGAGGGGUCCUGGCAGCUACCAAAUGCUCCCACUGAGCCAGGCCCUGGGCUAAAUCAGCACUUUCCACAGACUGGCUCCAGGAGGCAGGGAGCAUGGUUGCAGACGUGGAAGUGAGCCCAAAGACGUGAAGUGAGCUGCCCAAGGUCACACAGCUGGCAAGGGCCAGAGACCAGACUUCCAACCCGGUUAGGACUCCACAUCGCUAAACCCUGUACCUUCACUUGCCUCUACAGAAAGAAAAGAAAAGCAUAUGCCAAUUGGAACUGAGGCCCACUUCAGGCACGGUGACAGAAGGGCUCACCUUCAGAAGAAGGAGUCAUGUUACAGCCGCAGAGAGGCAGUUAGGACGCCCUACCUUGGAGAAGAGUCCCCUGGAAGCAGCAGAACUGUGCAGUGGUUGAGUGUGUGGCUGCUGGCAUCAGACUGUCUGGGUGUGAAUCCAGCCACCCCACUUGCCAACUGGGUGGUCUUGUUUGAGGUAUGAAAUUCUCUGUGCCUUGAUUUUCUCAUCUGUACAAUGGGAGCCAUCAUAACACCUACCUGGAAACAUUGGAUGGACCAUUCCUAUCAAGA